CAUAUUACACAAUAAAAGCAUUUGAGAUGAGGCAGCCCUACCGACUGUUACAUUUCCAGCUAAACUAACGCCUGACACCCUCACUACAAAGACAUCAGGCCAGGGAGCCCCCAGCUUUAUGCGCUGAAUCACUUUGUUGUGUGAACGCCACAUUUGAAAAGCUGUUCUGAUGGCAAGCGAGACUCAGGCCCUAAGUACAGACUGGACCAGGUGCUGCUAGUCAAGAGCCCGCACACCCAACCGCAGUAUAGGACCAGCAAGUAAACGCAGCUCUCUCAACAGAAGAGAUAGAGUUUAUGUUCAGAUUUCCCUUUCCACGCUGGGCAUUACACACAAGGCGUUGGACAUGCAGGACAAGCGCUUCCCACUGAACAGCAUCCCCAGCAUGACUUUCCAAGUUUCGGGAUGUAAGAUAAAGAAGGAAGUUACAGAAGGUUAUUCAUCGCCUCGGGAGAAACCCACCCUCAGCUUCGUGGAGCUAGCACCUCGCUCAAUCUCUCGGUUCAAAGCAAGAGGAGGCCACUGAGCAUUAAGGUCUUUGAAGAAACUGGCUAGAAAUGCAGAAACAGUUGCCUGAGAGGCAGGGCUGCGGUGGGCACCAUCUUGGGGAGGAGGAUUGCGCGCCAGCUUCUCUCACAGGCCUGACACCAUUCCUGUCCUGUUCCCAUGGAAGGUUUGUACCACCGGUGUUUACAGGUGCUCAGCGGGAUCCUAAAAGUCCCCACACAUCCCGUAAAGAAAGCAAUGUCCUCUGUGUAGAUAUCUACUCAUGUCUUCACACGCCC
Mus musculus (house mouse) is the source of this 785-nucleotide long non-coding RNA. RefSeq annotates it as predicted gene, 33516. The record is from RefSeq and is a predicted model, not a curated record. The transcript is spliced from 3 exons. Lineage: Eukaryota; Metazoa; Chordata; Mammalia; Rodentia; Muridae.